Molecule: long non-coding RNA, 242 nt
Organism: Sinocyclocheilus grahami
Lineage: Eukaryota; Metazoa; Chordata; Actinopteri; Cypriniformes; Cyprinidae
Exons: 3
Source: RefSeq, a predicted model, not a curated record
AAUCCAGCAUUCCAACCAGGAAGUGCAAAGAACAGCCCCAGAUGCACACAACCACGCAUAAGUCAACCAACUUUCCUCGAGUCAUCCACUGCUCUGGCCUGCAAACCUCUCUAUUCUCCAGCUAUGCCCUCUAGACAAGCACCAUUGCCUCCAAAGAAUGUACCACAAACUAGGACAGAACAGAUUGUGAAACCUUCCAUCCCACCUCCUGGUAUUUCCAGAAACAUUCAUCCUGUUCAGGU